CGUUAUGAAAAGACAGGUGCAAGAGAAAAAGGAGGACGGAUGGUGUAGCCUACUUUCCAUACAAUUAUUUCCAGUCUUUGUACGUUUCACACACUGGACAAGAGGGGCGUCGGGAAAAGAAACUGAUGGCUGUGUGUAAAAGAUUUGAACUUCAGAUGGCAACUGUUGUGUGUCUGAUGAUUACGAUAUAUAUGAUGGUCUACCAUAAUGUUCAUGGAGAGCUAAUCCAAGAGGUUCCCACUCAACAAAAACUGAGGUUGCUACCCGAGUAAUCUUCAUCCACCUGGUCCGUGCACUUGUCCUUCCGGCGCAGUGCUCCUCAAAGGUGGCCUCCCUAAGGAUCAGUAUGAGCAGCUGGUGCAACGGCGAGCUAAAGAGUUCAAACAACACAAAGCCAGGACUACGUCUGUAUUAUCCAGAAUGCUGUUUGCUUCGCCUAACUCUCCUCUGCAGUAUCCUAUUCAGGGUUUUAAAGUACGGCCUUUGACCUCCACUCUCAUACCAGAGUUGGAUGCACUGGGUGAUGAGCUGCUGUUGGCCUCGUCUAUCCCGUAAUCCCCAGUGACAAACAAGCUAUUUCUUGGUACUGGUUCUUCCACCUUCACUACCUCAGUGGAGACGGACACAAUAUGCUGCUGUGAGGUCAGAGGAGAGACAGCGGCUGAUGGAUGAGUCAGAAGAGGGGCAGGAGAAAUCCACCUCAGGAGACUGAGUCCUAGAGGGUCGAUGAGAGAGGCUCACAGCCACACCACCCUGAAAACAACCAAGCUCCUCCCGUGUGGAGAAUUGUUGUUUUUAGCAACUUGAAAAGGCUAAGCAUUUUUUACUCUUCCACAAGUGUGGCAAGAGUCCUGUCCACAGCCACAGGAGUCUUCUACAAGUGGAUAGUUGUGGAAGACUCCUGGUUGUAAAUGCAGUUUCAAGAGUUUGUAUAUAAAUGUAAAAAAUGAUGCUUUUGAUGAAAAUUUCAAAUACUUUUAAAAACAUUUAAAAAUGGAUUUCUAUUACGUUUAUUUAAAAUGCAUCUGCAUCAGAAAUACUAUUUGUGAACAUUUUGUCCAAAGGUUACGUCUGACAGUAUUCUGCCUUCAGACAUAUUGCU
Molecule: long non-coding RNA, 1102 nt
Organism: Cottoperca gobio
Lineage: Eukaryota; Metazoa; Chordata; Actinopteri; Perciformes; Bovichtidae
Exons: 7
Source: RefSeq, a predicted model, not a curated record